RNAcentral lists this ribosomal RNA (433 nucleotides) under uncultured bacterium. RNAcentral's name for it is "partial 16S ribosomal RNA". It matches the Rfam family "Bacterial small subunit ribosomal RNA", at positions 29 to 507 of the family's 1533-position model. The record is from RNAcentral.
AACGAACGCUGGCGGCAUGCCUAACACAUGCAAGUCGAACGAGACCUUCGGGUCUAGUGGCGCACGGGUGCGUAACGCGUGGGAACCUGCCCUUAGGUUCGGAAUAACUCCCCGAAAGGGGUGCUAAUACCGGAUAAUGUCUUCGGACCAAAGAUUUAUCGCCUUUGGAUGGGCCCGCGUUGGAUUAGCUAGUUGGUGGCGUAAAAGCCUACCAAGGCGACGAUCCAUAGCUGGUCUGAGAGGAUGAUCAGCCACACUGGGACUGAGACACGGCCCAGACUCCUACGGGAGGCAGCAGUGGGGAAUAUUGGACAAUGGGCGAAAGCCUGAUCCAGCAAUGCCGCGUGAGUGAUGAAGGCCUUAGGGUUGUAAAGCUCUUUUACCCGGGAUGAUAAUGACAGUACCGGGAGAAUAAGCUCCGGCUAACUCCGUG